Molecule: ribosomal RNA, 253 nt
Filed under: uncultured bacterium
Lineage: Bacteria
Description: partial 16S ribosomal RNA
Rfam family: Bacterial small subunit ribosomal RNA
Source: RNAcentral
UACGUAGGGUGCAAGCGUUAAUCGGAAUUACUGGGCGUAAAGCGUGCGCAGGCGGUGAUGCAAGUCAGGUGUGAAAUCCCCGGGCUCAACCUGGGAACUGCAUCUGUGACUGCAUCGCUGGAGUGCGGCAGAGGGGGAUGGAAUUCCGCGUGUAGCAGUGAAAUGCGUAGAUAUGCGGAGGAACACCGAUGGCGAAGGCAAUCCCCUGGGCCUGCACUGACGCUCAUGCACGAAAGCGUGGGGAGCAAACAGG